Molecule: long non-coding RNA, 263 nt
Filed under: Zostera marina
Lineage: Eukaryota; Viridiplantae; Streptophyta; Magnoliopsida; Alismatales; Zosteraceae
Description: long non-coding RNA (ZMAR_LNC001452)
Source: RNAcentral
UUAAAGAAGGCCCAGCCCAGCCCAUUACGUUAUUAUUUUUUAAAAGCCUCUUGGGUUAUUUAUUAUUUUCUUUUUAUAAAAGUCUCUCUUUUAUAAGUUUAAAGAAACCCUAGCCAUUUAUAGAGCUACAUUAUUACGAAAAUACCCCUAAAUGAUUAACCGGUUUUUAAACCUUGGUGUUACAAUGAAUUAUAGGGUGUUAUAAUAAUUAAUAAAUAUAUGUAUUAUAAUAAUUUUUCUAUCCAAUAUAUUUUUAACUAAAA